RNAcentral lists this ribosomal RNA (400 nucleotides) under uncultured bacterium. RNAcentral's name for it is "bacterial SSU rRNA". It matches the Rfam family "Bacterial small subunit ribosomal RNA", at positions 28 to 420 of the family's 1533-position model. The record is from RNAcentral.
GACGAACGCUGGCGGCGCGCUUAACACAUGCAAGUCGAGCGAGAACCAGGGCUUCGGCUCUGGGGACAGCGGCGAACGGGUGAGUAACACGUGAGUAAUCUGCCCUCGACACUGGGAUAGCCCGGGGAAACCCGGAUUAAUACCGGAUAGCCUUUCGAGCUCUCGGGCUCGUCAGAAAAGGAUGGCUUCGGCUUUCGGUUGAGGAUGAGCUUGCGGCGGAUUAGCUUGUUGGUGAGGAACGGCUCACCAAGGCGACAAUCCGUAGCUGGUCUGAGAGGACGAUCAGCCACACUGGGACUGAGACACGGCCCAGACUCCUACGGGAGGCAGCAGUGGGGAAUCUUGCGCAAAUGAGCGAAAGCUUGACGCAGCGACGCCGCGUGAGGGAAGAAGGCCUCGG